CCAUGCCUAUCAACUAUAGAAUGGACAAACUAAAUAUGACAUAUUCAUGCCAUGAAAUACUAUUAAGCAGUAAAAAGGAACAAGGCGGUGAUAGGUAGGUACUUUAAUAGCACUGUGUCCAGGGAAAGUGGUCAGGCACAGAGAAGCAGGUAUUGCUGGUUCCACUUCCAUGACACUUCUAGAAAUAGUAUAAAUUUACUAAAACUCUCACACAUGUAUACUUCAAAUGAGUGAACUUCUGGUUUGCAAAUUAUACACAAGCUAUUUUUAUAAAUGGGAACAUAUUCUAAACACUGCUGCAUGCUAUGCUUUUGUUUAUCUCCACACUUUUACCUUGCAGGGAGUUCUGCAGCAGCUCUUCCUGUUUUUAGUGGUUACACACUAGCUGAGGUAGUCAGUCUGCUAAGCUCAGUUUUGAAAGCCUCUCUCUGCUUCCCUUCCCCUCUCCCCUCCCUUACUUCCAGGGAGGAGCCUUUCCUAAGUGGGGCUGCGACGCUGAUGGUGACCCACCCACACGCAAAGGUGGACGAGAAGCAGCAGUACGUCUCAGCCCCUGGAUCAGUCCUCACUCAUGAAGGACACUCCCCAGUUCCCUGGCUCCUGGUGGAACAACGGACUCACAAAAAGCAUAACACAGCAAGUCUUUUCCUUGCAAACUUGGAAAAAGUCAUGUAAAUUUAUAGCUGCAAAUUCCAAGCAACAUGAAAGCAUCGCCUUCCAGCUAAACUUCGCCUACGCCAGAUGAGAGAGCCAA
Molecule: long non-coding RNA, 754 nt
Filed under: Chinchilla lanigera (long-tailed chinchilla)
Lineage: Eukaryota; Metazoa; Chordata; Mammalia; Rodentia; Chinchillidae
Description: lncRNA (ENSCLAG00000024960.1)
Source: RNAcentral